Molecule: ribosomal RNA, 792 nt
Filed under: uncultured Lactobacillus sp.
Lineage: Bacteria; Bacillati; Bacillota; Bacilli; Lactobacillales; Lactobacillaceae
Description: bacterial SSU rRNA
Rfam family: Bacterial small subunit ribosomal RNA
Source: RNAcentral
GAUGAACGCCGGCGGUGUGCCUAAUACAUGCAAGUCGAGCGCACUGGCCCAACUGAUAUGACGUGCUUGCACUGAAUUGACGUUGGAUUACCAGUGAGCGGCGGACGGGUGAGUAACACGUGGGCAACCUGCCCUGGAGCGGGGGAUAACAUCUGGAAACAGGUGCUAAUACCGCAUAACAACGAAAACCACAUGGUUUUCGUUUCAAAGAUGGUUUCGGCUAUCACUUCAGGAUGGGCCCGCGGUGCAUUAGCUGGUUGGUAAGGUAACGGCUUACCAAGGCAAUGAUGCAUAGCCGAGUUGAGAGACUGAUCGGCCACAAUGGAACUGAGACACGGUCCAUACUCCUACGGGAGGCAGCAGUAGGGAAUCUUCCACAAUGGGCGCAAGCCUGAUGGAGCAACACCGCGUGAGUGAAGAAGGGUUUCGGCUCGUAAAGCUCUGUUGUUGGAGAAGAACGUGCGUGAGAGUAACUGUUCACGCAGUGACGGUAUCCAACCAGAAAGUCACGGCUAACUACGUGCCAGCAGCCGCGGUAAUACGUAGGUGGCAAGCGUUAUCCGGAUUUAUUGGGCGUAAAGCGAGCGCAGGCGGUUGCUUAGGUCUGAUGUGAAAGCCUUCGGCUUAACCGAAGAAGGGCAUCGGAAACCGGGCGACUUGAGUGCAGAAGAGGACAGUGGAACUCCAUGUGUAGCGGUGGAAUGCGUAGAUAUAUGGAAGAACACCAGUGGCGAAGGCGGCUGUCUGGUCUGCAACUGACGCUGAGGCUCGAAAGCAUGGGUAGCGAACAGG